AGCUCCAAUAGCGUAUAUUAAAGUUGCUGCGUUUAAAAAGCUCGUAGUUGGAUCUCAGUCUCGAUCGGUCGGUCCAUCCUCUGGGUGGUUAUUGGUUUAAUUGGACGUUGUUGGCCACGUUUCCGAGCAUGCUCUUCAUUGAGUGUGUUCCGGAGAGUGGAGCGUUUACUUUGAAAAAAUUAGAGUGCUCAAAGCAGGCGUUGUGCCUGGAUAGUCGUGCAUGGAAUGAUGGAAUAGGGCCUCGGUUCUAUUUUGUUGGUUUCCGGAACUCGAGGUAAUGAUUAAUAGGGACGGACGGGGGCAUUUGUAUUGCGACGUUAGAGGUGAAAUUCUUAGAUCGUCGCAAGACAAACUACUGCGAAAGCAUUUGCCAAGAAUGUUUUCAUUAAUCAAGAACGAA
RNAcentral lists this ribosomal RNA (400 nucleotides) under phytoplankton environmental sample. RNAcentral describes it as "partial small subunit ribosomal RNA". It matches the Rfam family "Eukaryotic small subunit ribosomal RNA", at positions 587 to 987 of the family's 1831-position model. The record is from RNAcentral.